GAUGAACGCUGACAGAAUGCUUAACACAUGCAAGUCAACUUGAACUUCGGUUUGGGUGGCGGACGGGUGAGUAACGCGUAAAGAACUUGCCUCACAGCUAGGGACAACAUUUGGAAACGAAUGCUAAUACCUGAUAUUAUGACUUUAGGGCAUCCUAGAAUUAUGAAAGCUAUAUGCGCUGUGAGAGAGCUUUGCGUCCCAUUAGCUAGUUGGAGAGGUAACGGCUCACCAAGGCGAUGAUGGGUAGCCGGCCUGAGAGGGUGAUCGGCCACAAGGGGACUGAGACACGGCCCUUACUCCUACGGGAGGCAGCAGUGGGGAAUAUUGGACAAUGGACCAAGAGUCUGAUCCAGCAAUUCUGUGUGCACGAUGAAGUUUUUCGGAAUGUAAAGUGCUUUCAGUUGGGAAGAAAAAAAUGACGGUACCAACAGAAGAAGUGACGGCUAAAUACGUGCCAGCAGCCGCGGUAAUACGUAUGUCACAAGCGUUAUCCGGAUUUAUUGGGCGUAAAGCGCGUCUAGGUGGUUAUAUAAGUCUGAUGUGAAAAUGCAGGGCUCAACUCUGUAUUGCGUUGGAAACUGUGUAACUAGAGUACUGGAGAGGUAAGCGGAACUACAAGUGUAGAGGUGAAAUUCGUAGAUAUUUGUAGGAAUGCCGAUGGGGGAAGCCAGCUUACUGGACAGAUACUGGACGCUGAAGCGCGAAACCGAGGGUAGCAAAGAGGAUAGGAAACCCUAGUAAGCCGGGGCGAAUUCUCAGGGAUAUGAAGCUAAGCGAUGCGUCACCCCGAGGGGGGUUAUAGUUUUCUUAAAAUAUAAUAUAGUUGGGGG
Molecule: ribosomal RNA, 830 nt
Filed under: uncultured Fusobacterium sp.
Lineage: Bacteria; Fusobacteriati; Fusobacteriota; Fusobacteriia; Fusobacteriales; Fusobacteriaceae
Description: bacterial SSU rRNA
Rfam family: Bacterial small subunit ribosomal RNA
Source: RNAcentral